Molecule: ribosomal RNA, 174 nt
Filed under: uncultured bacterium
Lineage: Bacteria
Description: partial 16S ribosomal RNA
Rfam family: Bacterial small subunit ribosomal RNA
Source: RNAcentral
UCCUACGGGAGGCAGCAGUGGGGAAUAUUGGACAAUGGGCGAAAGCCUGAUCCAGCCAUGCCGCAUGAGUGAAGAAGGCCUUUGGGUUGUAAAGCUCUUUUAGUGAGGAAGAUAAUGACGGUACUCACAGAAGAAGUCCUGGCUAACUCCGUGCCAGCAGCCGCGGUAAUACAA